RNAcentral lists this long non-coding RNA (1317 nucleotides) under Toxoplasma gondii VEG. The record is from RNAcentral. Lineage: Eukaryota; Apicomplexa; Conoidasida; Eucoccidiorida; Sarcocystidae.
AAGUCUCGUUUUCCUCAACGAAUAGUGCUUUCUGCAUAGAAGACACUCAAGAAAAAAACGUCUCUUCUCCGUUGACAAGAGUGCAGGGGGAGAGAGGAGGAGCACCGGGGGGCUGGGGUGGGGGGGGCUGCUUGCGUUGCUGAAGAAUUCGACUUCUUUCAGAGAGUCGCCUUUCCUCGUUUCUUUCCUCCUGAAACAAAUCUGCGGUCGCCAGACGUGGACUUUCGCUGCCGGAACUGAAAGGCGAACCUGCCGCUCCCCUCUGCGAAUCAAGCUCUCUUUAUCUCGCCCUUAUCGGAUACUUUAAGCCGGGAGUGAGUUCCUUGCUCUGAGCCGGUCUCUCUCUCAGCUGUCUCUUCCCAUCUUCCCACUGCGCGAAGCCGAGAAACGCUUCUCAAGUGCUUCGGAAAUCGACAAACGCGGUGAUUCCGUGCUUCCACACACCUUCGCCUUGACGCCCUGAAAAACUCUUUCGCCUCACGUCAAAGGGGGCCUGGAUCAGGAGCAGGCAAACUCCGUGAGACGCCUUUCUGCAGACCGGACUUUUCUCUCCACUACGGUACCCAAGUGUCCUCUUUCCAUCAGGAAAACAGACUUGUGAUACUUUGACGAAACAAAGAAGUGAAUGUUAUAUAUAUAUAUAUAUAUAUAUAUAUAUAUAUAUAUGUAGGGUCGGUCGCCUGUGGUAGAGUGAAUCCGCUAACAAAGGCCAUGAAAAGAGUGUAACCAGUUGUCGAACGCAAAGUAAAUGACAUGCCUUUUCAUUGAAACGCCCUUCCCUUCUCGCCCCAUCAUUAUGAUCACGAAGUACACGUGUAGGUUAGGGAGUUUUUCUCCCGCAUAACACCCAGUGUAAAGUGUUUCUGAAAACAGAGUUCAUUCCGGCCUGUGCUAUGCUACUUUUAAGUGCAGUCCCUGUUUGGCUCCGAUUUCACGGCAACAGAUUUGUCUGGACGCUUCCGUUUAGGGGACUUGUACUGCCGCGUCUGUCGAGCAAUGUGUUGUUAAGGCUGAGCUUCCAUAAAGUAUCCGAGGUUGGAAGAUCUGUCUCCCAUCUUACGGAAGACACGGACGCCUCUUUAUUACACUCCUGUCCGUCAACCGCAUAAUAUUGAGUGAAUACAAAGGAACAUUCUAUUAGGUCUUAUCGGGACGUGUUACUGUCUUUCCUCCACACUUUGUCAAAGAAACGGGCGCAUCAAUUCACAGAGUGCGAAGCUUCGAGCGAGGUGUAGCGCGGCUGCUUCGAACAAGUGCCGUUUUCGCUGGUAAUCGUACAAGCGGUAAGCUUUCGAGGUUCGGGUGCCUACAGACAGC